GUGCGAAUGAGUAGUGGAAGCGUUCGUGUGCUAUAACUACUUUGUUCGAGAACUCUCUUUACCUUCACACACAAUCUUACCUCACGAAUAGCGCAAUUCCCUACGUCCUCCUAACGUUGCGAAGUACUCUCUCAUCGAAUCUAGCAAAGAUUAACUUCGCUUAUCAACCUAUAAAUGUUGAACGAUCUGAUAAAUAUUUAAAAUAUGAAAGAAGAUAUUUUUAUGAUAUGCGAGAACUUUUUUUUACACAGAACGCAUGAGAACUUUUUUUUUUAGUCAGACUGUGAUCGUACCAAAGGUACAGGAUCACAGGUGUGCGCCUUUGGAUUGCUCCUCUGCAUGACCUGAUCUGAAGGCCGCCGACGGCCGCUGACCGCACUACGGCUAGGGGAAGAAGGGGAGAAGAAGAGGAAGGAGAGGAGGUGGGGUGGAAGAAGGGAUCGACUAGGUGAGAAGGGACGAGACAGCGAUGAAGAUAGAGACAAAGGAAAGAGAGUCUAGGGAAAGGAAAGGGGAACAAGGACGGCCUAAGUUCGGCCUCCGCUAGAAAGACUGGCCUAGACUACGCCGCAGCAAGCUAGGCUGGCCUAGGUCCCGAAGGAACAGAGGAGGCGUCUCAGGUAGGGGUCGGAAACGACAAGAAAGAUGGAAAGGGCGGAAGGUGAGGAGGUUAGGGGAACAAAAACAAAAGACAAGGAGAGUUGAACAGGGUGAAUAUUAGAAACUAAGUUCAAAGGGUUUUGGACAAAACGACCUAGACGAAAACACGUUAGAAAAACAGACCAAAUUCGGGAGAGAGAGCGCGUCCCCAGUCGUCACGUAGCAGGAAUUCCUAGAACCCACGGUACUUUCGAUAUCGCACCUUAACGGCUCCGUACCCGGCCUCGGAGUCGUUACUAGCAUACGAUAAAGACCGAUUAGACUAGGCAAGAUGAUUUCGCGUCAAAACAACAAGGAAGCUCUCCCCGGAGACCUCCCGAGACCGAUUACACCUUACUACUAGAGUUUCAGUGAUAAGUACGACGAAGGAAGGUGAUAUAUAAUCGAUAACAUGAAGUACAUUGGUGACCACAGGUUAAAACAAACCAGACAUAUAUACCACUAGGGAUAGUAUCUGUUUGAUGACGGUAAACCUCACUCUAAAGUUGAAAACACAUACUAUUAGACCCAGACGGGUACUACACAUACCCUCUGGAAUUACUGUAGAACAUACUAUGCCUACCAACAUUGCCGUUACAAUUGAUAAUAGCAUACUUACAAAAGGCGAGAGAACAAUUUUUAACACCUAAGAUACUAUAUCCAAAAUCACCAGGACGCAUAUGAACCGCAUCAUUUGUUGUGUGAAGCUUUGGAUAAAUAUCUACGGAACUAGCGACGAACCAAUUAAGACUUACCACGUACGUAAUAGGAUUAUGAUUUCAGGAGUUGAACGGAUAAUAAGAAUCACUAGUACGGGGGUAAGAUCACAGAUGACUUUUAACCACCGACGACCUCUUUCUAAAGCGAUCAAAACGGUUUAGACGUACCUUAUUAACGAGUCAAGUGAGGAAACGUCGGUUUUGGAGAAUAAACCGUCCAAGGAAUUUCUACACCGCGUUCUUUUUUUUCGGAGAGGUCGUCCUAGAAGAACUGGAUCUUAGCUUCUAAUUAGUUUAAGUUGUUGAAGGAAACGUUGGCGUCUUAGUACGUAACCUUUCAAGAGAAUAAAAGUCCAUACUCGUUUGAGAAAGAUUCGAAUUGGUUAAGAUAUUCGUCUCUUCAUUCUUUCCAACCCGAUGACGACCUCUAGCAUUAUGAUUUUAAAAGGUAGUUCGCCACCAAUUGCAUCCUUCUCCUUAUGAUAAACAAGACAAUUCCUACUCUUACUAUACUAGGUAAAGUUUGGAUCACGAUAGUGAUUGUGAAAACAAUUAAUAAAAGCAAUAUAAAAGAGUAGAGGACUAUUAUUACGACUAUCCGGAAUAGAACUAUGUGUAACCGGAUCACUGAGAGACCUAGGAUGGAUACGAGAAGGACUAUUUGUACUCCAAAAUGUCUAAGAGUUUCUUUACUUUAACUUACGAAGAGGUCCCGGUCUACCCAAAUUACAACUUAAAAUAAACCGCCGGACCCUGACCUAUCCUCUACUUCAGUGAGUUGAACAGUAAUUGAAAAUGUGAUGACCAUAAAACGGAGGUGUAUAAUUACUGUGAUUGUAACGAGAAUAAGGCUUUUCCGAACACGGAGUUCAAGGGUACCUGAUAGCGGGAUAAUCGGAAACAUUACAACAAAUGUUUUAGUAACGCUUCAGCGAACGAUUAUCCUAGUUCGGAGUAGAAGGACUAAUAUAGCUAGGACGAGUUGUUCGAAAGUAACUCCCAUCUGCAUAAUCACUAUUGUAGUAAUAACGGGUCCUCUAACGGGUGAGAAAGAGAGAAUUUAGAACCUUUGUGUCACGAAAGUACGAAUUCUAUCUAGAUCGGUUUCGAAAACUAGCAGAUCUUACCUUAAAAUAACACAGACGAGAACGAGCAUUUCCCGACGUACCAGUGAAGUAAUUAAAUUGAGUACGUACACAAAGAAGAGGAUGCAAGAGACACGACUAAUUACCUGUUGGGAGAGUGUUCAAAUCCUCGAAAGCUCCAUAAGCAGUCCCGACAGGCUACAGAGGAAAAAACAAACAAUAACGGUAGUUACUUAAUAGAUAACGAGAGUUGCUUCGAGAACGACGAGUAGUAAACGUCCCAUAAAGCGAACCUGGUUUAACGGGAAGAUAGGUGAGAAACAAUAAACGUCUACUGAACAACCAAACACCCGUUCGGUCAGAAGUUCUUCGAGCGUGAUACCGAGUAGAAUAAUUAGUAAAAACAAGAUAGAGUCCAGUUUGAGGUUUAACCCGGUUUAGUCGGUAAGAAAAGUCAAGAGUACAAGGAGUUCGAUACUACGUCCUAUAAUUCGUCUAAAAGGGACAAAGAUUAGACCUAUCGUUAAAGUGAGUAGAACCAGUACGUGAACAAGAAGGACGUUUUUCUUCUCGAUGACGUAUAUUGAAACAAGAUCUGUUUAAAGACUUAUUCAACGGGUAAAUAUUUCGAUUGUACGAAAGAGUACGACGGUCUGAACUUAACUAAGCGAGCCAAAAGAACCGAUAGGGACAGAUAAUGUACCGAUUAUAGAACAAAUGCUUCUUUAAGUAACGAUUCGAAUGACGACAAUAAUCCUUAAAAACCACCUGUCCACAAGCUCUUUUACUGAGUUUUUUCUCAGAAACGGAAUCUCGUACCUUCCUGUAAACGUUAAGUUUUCUACUUCCACCGAAUCCACAGUCUUUAAAUUUUCGAUAAUUACUCUCAGAAGAAUAAAGACGACGGACCUCCAAUCGGUUCAAGGGAACAAGAGUGAACGUAGAACAUGAAUUCCGAUUCAUGAAAGUACUACGAAGAUAGACCUGUCGAUGACGAUAAAGAGGGUUUAGUCGAAAGACCCGGAGAUAAAACUUUAACAACGGAUUUGAAUUUCGAGUAAGAAAAAUAGUCAAUAGACUUCCAUUAUAAAGUUAAACCUCGUGUGGAACCACGUGAGAAACCUCGAGCCAAGUACUAGUAGAAUAACGAGUUGUUGGACCAAAAUAUAUAGGAAGAAAUCAAUUUCUAGAAACCGAAGGUCCAGUUUUUUCAACCUUAGUACUAGAACAAAAGAGGGAAAAGGUCGUUGGAAACCGGAGAGAGUAACAAGUUUGACUUUAAUAACUACUGCUUUCAGGUCUGAACGAAACAACCCUAGAAUGGGGAUUACCUUAAACAAGAAGAUUUAGACGUAUAUUUGAGACAAAUGUCCUCUAAGUACGAUUAGGGUCUUUACGCGGACGAUGAGAAGGAAACCUAAACAAUCUAAAAGAGUUUAAUUAAACCUUUGUCUUCCUAAACGAAGGAUCCCAGUUUUGAAAGCGGACCUCUAAUGAAUCUUUCCGGAACGGAUGCCCAAACGCUCGACCAGCAAAAAGGUAAGUAUAAAGAUUUUUAACAACAGCAACACCGGUCGUUCUCCUACUCAAGGUAGAUAAAAAAGACACAUUGAAAAGGGCACGCCGAACCAAAAGGAGAGGAACCAAGGAAGUUAGCCUACGAAAUUAAGUCCCGGUAAGGUGAUACGUAAGACAAGAAAAACUGAACGAAGCAUACCCUGUAGGAGUACUAAGAUAAAGAUCACAAAAUUUAAAAAACACCACAGAGACCUUCCGAUCUUUACUAAAAGAGAAACUAUCUUUUUUCCGAGAAGGGGUGGUUCAAGUAUAACGUCGAGAACGAAAUCGAAGACUAACAAUACUAUUAGAAGGUACAAAUGGAAGCUUCGUCCUAGUUCGAGUAUUAGUUAACGGAGGAUUAGUCGAGGGAUACGUUCCAUCUUGCGAAUUCUGUCUAGACAAUUAACAACCGGGAUUCUAGAUAAGACUACGACGAAUAUCCUGGUUCUUUCAAGGUCCAAACAACGUUCCUCUCCAACGAUAUCUACACCCUCACAUGUAGAGAUACGGGAAGUUGGUCUUCCUUUAAUUACACGUUCAAGUUCGAAGCUGAAGAGGAUGAAGAUGAGGAGAUGUUCGACUUCGUAACCGAGAAAGAAAACGACGAGUAGAACGAAGAGUUGAGUUAUAACGCGUCGGGUGAAAAGAAAACCUAACAGAACGAAAUCGAAACCGACAACGGAGUCCAUUAUAAACACUAAGACGGUGGGGAACCUUAUAAUCUUUCAGAAACCGAUCGAAAAAGUUUACAUGUAGAUUAAACGUUCGCGUGCACAAAGUAUAAAGAUCUCUUUAGUUACCAUAACGAGUGUUAGAACGCGUUGUCCAAAAAGCAAGACUACCCGUGUGAGUUGAGAGAACAAAACGACGAUGAGUAAGAGUUCAAAGAACAGGACACAACGGGGAAGAAAGUUUAAAGGUCUAAGUCCCAAAAUCUUAAGUAUGAUAUGUAACGAUGAUUGUUGGAACAACACGUACCUAGAAGACGAAGAUAAGUGUCGCAACGACACGACCGAAGAUAUGAGAGAGAGAGAGAGAAAGUCCUACGUGGAAACGGUCUAAUUCCUACCAGAAGAAGUUGGACGACCAAAGAGUGUCCUUUUCCUUAGGAGAAGGUAGAACACGUAAAACGUCUCAAACGGUUCGACUCCGGUCAACUGCAGAAUUCGAGACGUCCUAAUUUAAAUCUCCGAACAUAAUGUGGACAGAAACCCAAGAAGUCAUGUGAAAGUUCAGUAGAAACAAACCGUGUGAAACAACAAAAUCUGACAGACAACAGACAGAAAGACAAGAAGACUAGUACGACAAGUAGUCAACCCCAAAGGGAGAGACAGAAGGUCCUAUCAAGGAGUCGAGUAUAUCGGAAUCUGAGACGAAGAGAAAGAAAGUUAAAGAACCGUCCAGAUACAUUACGAACUACAUGAGACAGUUACUCGACUUACUUUAACCGUGGACAACCACGGAAGAGAACAAUUUUUUUUUUCACAGGUGUGCGCGCGCAACACAUCAUCAUUCGGUGUCGGCAGGCUCAGGGGGUUAGGGUAGUGACUACGGUGGUGGUCGUCGUUGGUACCGGCAGGAGUCUCGUAGGGACGAGGGUGGGGUCGGAGAAGGGAGAAGGAGGAGGAGGAGGUGGGGGGUCAGAGUCGCCGAGGGGUCACCGUCGUAGUGGCGACGUCGGGACAGUUCUUGUUCGGGCGUGGGAGGAGGAGAGUUCUGGCCGACGGCGCCGUCGCGGUUCUUCUAGGAAGAACGUCCUUCUCCCGCUGAGGGGACGAACGGGUGUUUCGUUCUCCAGCAGCGCCAUCCGCCACGCCUCCUCCUUGCUAUGGAGCGCUCCCUCCGGCCCACCCCUCACGCCGCCUACCCCGCCUAGCCGCUCCUCUACUCCGCCCACCGCGAGCACGUCCGGCUCCGGAAGGUGCAGGGGCAACGCGAGAAGUUGCUGAAGAAGAAGCUAAAGAAGUUUCAUACGUAGUGUACUUUACGAAAGUAGACAUGAUCUUUACAGAUACACGGGCGCAUAAAACUAUCCGUGCUGCAAAGAACAUAACCGGUUCUAGUCCGUCUCCACAACCGCCGCGAGUAAAUGUUUGACUCCUUAAGCGGCGGACUGUCCAUACGCACGAACCACCGUCUUCUUCGACUACUCGGCAGCGUCAGCGUCCGUGGUAAACUCUUCUAGUAACCCCACCACCUAACGUGCCACGUCCUACUUCCGCUGUAGGAAUCCUUGGAGGUUCCACAGGUCCUCAUGAAAAUGCAUAGUCCUUAUCGUCACGACGGUAGUAUGUCCUCCUCCUUCCACCCGUGGCGGGACGACUUUCGCACGCUCCACAACCGAGAUCUUACCUCCGUCUCUAAGUACCGAGAAUCCCGUAUGCUCCUACUGUCGUCGCGAGCUCCUGAGAUGCGUUUCCGUCCCAUGUCCCACCACAGUUCCCUAGGACCUACCCAGUGGACCCAACCCUCCUCCUCCGCACAAGAGUACCAUUUUCUUAACGGCCAAGUACUACGAGUCUAGGUUGUCGUUACUGUACGAACAGGAUCAUCCAGGGGCAUAUAUAUAUACAGGGGACGAUUAAGGAACGCAGACCACAUUCUUACUGUAAAAAACCCCCCAAAUUAGUAACACAUCGUACUUAGCCACGACCUGACAAUCAAAACUUAAUAAGAGACGUAUUGACUACAAGGUGCGUCGUAACGAGUUAUACAACUCGUCCGCGUUACGUCAGAGACGUCUGUACCAACCCCCCGUAGUAGACAUUCGACAGGAAGGAUUCGUCUCCCUGGAUGCUUAACAAGGUGGAUCGACCAAUUCUG
RNAcentral lists this ribosomal RNA (6826 nucleotides) under Triticum aestivum (bread wheat). RNAcentral's name for it is "partial small subunit ribosomal RNA". The record is from RNAcentral. Lineage: Eukaryota; Viridiplantae; Streptophyta; Magnoliopsida; Poales; Poaceae.